GCCAGGCAUGGUAGUAUACACCUGUAUUUCUAGCUACUUGAGAGGCUGAGGCAGAAGGAUCAUUUGGGCCCUGGAUUUCUGGGCUGUGGUGUGCUAUUCUGAUCUGGUGUCUUCACUAAACUCAGCAUCAAUAUGGUAACCUUCUGGGAGCAGGAGACCACCAGGUUUCCUAAGGAAGGGUGAACCAGCCAAGUUAAGAAACAGAGCAAGUCAAAACUCACAUGCUGAUCAGUAGCAGUAUCGCUCCAUGAAAAGGCACUGCACUUCCAGCCAGGGUAACAUAGCGAGACUCCACCUUAA
Molecule: signal recognition particle RNA, 300 nt
Filed under: Callithrix jacchus (white-tufted-ear marmoset)
Lineage: Eukaryota; Metazoa; Chordata; Mammalia; Primates; Cebidae
Description: Metazoan signal recognition particle RNA (ENSCJAG00000084149.1)
Rfam family: Metazoan signal recognition particle RNA
About the family: The signal recognition particle (SRP) is a universally conserved ribonucleoprotein. It is involved in the co-translational targeting of proteins to membranes.
Source: Rfam by way of RNAcentral